CUCAAAGGAAUUGACGGGACCCGCACAAGCAGCGGAGCGUGUGGUUUAAUUCGUUGCUACACGAAGAACCUUACCUGGGUUUGACAUAUAGGUGUAGGGAACUGAAAGGGACCGACCUUCGGGAGCCUAUACAGGUGUUGCAUGGCUGUCGUCAGCUCGUGUCGUGAGAUGUUCGGUUAAGUCCGCUAACGAGCGCAACCCUCGUCGUAUGUUAUAUGUGUCAUACGAGACUGCCGGUAAAAGCCGGAGGAAGGUGAGGAUGAUGUCAAGUCAGCAUGACCUUUAUAUCCAGGGCUACACACACGCUACAAUGGUCUGUACAAUGGGUAGCCAAGCCGCGAGGCGGAGCCAAUCCUGAAAGCAGGCCUCAGUUCAGAUUGCAGUCUGCAACUCGACUGCAUGAAGCCGGAGUUGCUAGUAACCGCAGGUCAGCAAUACUGCGGUGAAUACGUUCCCGGGUCUU
This 463-nucleotide ribosomal RNA is filed under the name uncultured Anaerolineaceae bacterium. RNAcentral's name for it is "bacterial SSU rRNA". It matches the Rfam family "Bacterial small subunit ribosomal RNA", at positions 900 to 1382 of the family's 1533-position model. Lineage: Bacteria; Bacillati; Chloroflexota; Anaerolineae; Anaerolineales; Anaerolineaceae. The record is from RNAcentral.